AUGCAAGGCAGCGGCGACUUACCUCCGAGCAAGAGUGAAACUCCUCAUAAAAGACAAGAAGAAGAUGAAGAGGAGGAGGGGAUUCCAGCACAGUGCAGCGAGGGAGACGGAUGGACUAACAGGUGAGGCUGAACAGGAUGAACGGCAUUCCUAAUUAUUUCCAUCGGGAGAAAUGACUUGAGAUACAAGUGUUUUGACUUACAAGCAUGGUUUCAGAACAAGUUGGACUGAAUGUCCUCCUUGAAUAGCGGUGGUCCGCUCUAUUGAUUAAUGGACGCAUUAUAAUGACGGAUAAAAUAAAAAGACAAAUUCAUCAUUUUAGUGUUUGCGAAAUGUGAUAAGCACUCUAAAAGCCUGUCAGGGUAAACAAGCAGCACUUGUUGAAAUUGCCCCGACGUCUUUGUUUAAUAUGAGGACAACGUUCGAAUGAAAAACUGUCUCAUUUCUGAGCCAGGAAA
Molecule: long non-coding RNA, 458 nt
Organism: Syngnathus acus (greater pipefish)
Lineage: Eukaryota; Metazoa; Chordata; Actinopteri; Syngnathiformes; Syngnathidae
Exons: 3
Source: RefSeq, a predicted model, not a curated record